CGUCAAUCAUCAUGCCCUUAUGACCUGGGCUACACACGUGCUACAAUGGUUGGUACAACGAGUUGCGAGUCGGUGACGGCGAGCUAAUCUCUUAAAGCCAAAUCUCAGUUCGGAUUGUAGGCUGCAACUCGCCUACAUGAAGUCGGAAUCGCUAGUAAUCGCGGAUCAGCACGCCGCGGUGAAUACGUUCCCGGGCCUU
RNAcentral lists this ribosomal RNA (199 nucleotides) under uncultured Streptococcus sp. RNAcentral describes it as "partial 16S ribosomal RNA". It matches the Rfam family "Bacterial small subunit ribosomal RNA", at positions 1183 to 1382 of the family's 1533-position model. The record is from RNAcentral. Lineage: Bacteria; Bacillati; Bacillota; Bacilli; Lactobacillales; Streptococcaceae.